UACUGGAAACGGUAGCUAAUACCGCAUAACGUCGCAAGACCAAAGAGGGGGACCUUCGGGCCUCUUGCCAUCAGAUGUGCCCAGAUGGGAUUAGCUAGUAGGUGGGGUAACGGCUCACCUAGGCGACGAUCCCUAGCUGGUCUGAGAGGAUGACCAGCCACACUGGAACUGAGACACGGUCCAGACUCCUACGGGAGGCAGCAGUGGGGAAUAUUGCAC
This 219-nucleotide ribosomal RNA is filed under the name Kosakonia sacchari. RNAcentral describes it as "partial 16S ribosomal RNA". It matches the Rfam family "Bacterial small subunit ribosomal RNA", at positions 148 to 369 of the family's 1533-position model. The record is from RNAcentral. Lineage: Bacteria; Pseudomonadati; Pseudomonadota; Gammaproteobacteria; Enterobacterales; Enterobacteriaceae.